CGUACACUCCUGCGGGAGGCAGCAGUAGGGAAUCUUCGGCAAUGGGGGCAACCCUGACCGAGCAACGCCGCGUGAGUGAAGAAGGUUUUCGGAUCGUAAAGCUCUGUUGUAAGUCAAGAACGAGUGUGAGAGUGGAAAGUUCACACUGUGACGGUAGCUUACCAGAAAGGGACGGCUAACUACGUGCCAGCAGCCGCGGUAAUACGUAGGUCCCGAGCGUUGUCCGGAUUUAUUGGGCGUAAAGCGAGCGCAGGCGGUUUGAUAAGUCUGAAGUUAAAGGCUGUGGCUCAACCAUAGUUCGCUUUGGAAACUGUCAAACUUGAGUGCAGAAGGGGAGAGUGGAAUUCCAUGUGUAGCGGUGAAAUGCGUAGAUAUAUGGAGGAACACCGGUGGCGAAAGCGGCUCUCUGGUCUGUAACUGACGCUGAGGCUCGAAAGCGUGGGGAGCGAACAGGAUUAGAAACCCCAGUAGUCCC
RNAcentral lists this ribosomal RNA (475 nucleotides) under uncultured organism. RNAcentral's name for it is "partial 16S ribosomal RNA". It matches the Rfam family "Bacterial small subunit ribosomal RNA", at positions 330 to 797 of the family's 1533-position model. The record is from RNAcentral.